UGGGGAAUAUUGGACAAUGGGGGAGACCCUGAUCCAGCCAUGCCGCGUGAGUGACGAAGGCCUUCGGGUUGUAAAGCUCUUUUACAUGGGAAGAUAAUGACGGUACCAUGAGAAUAAGCACCGGCUAACUUCGUGCCAGCAGCCGCGGUAAUACGAAGGGUGCAAGCGUUGUUCGGAAUUACUGGGUGUAAAGGGCGUGUAGGCGGACUUGCAAGUUAGUGGUGAAAGCCUUGGGCUUAACCUGAGACGUGCCAUUGAUACUGUGGGUCUGGAGUAUCAGAGAGGAUGACGGAAUAUCCAGUGUAGAGGUGAAAUUCGUAGAUAUUGGAUAGAACACCGGUGGCGAAGGCGGUUAUCUGGCUGAUUACUGACGCUGAGGCGCGAGAGCGUGGGGAGCAAA
RNAcentral lists this ribosomal RNA (400 nucleotides) under uncultured bacterium. RNAcentral's name for it is "bacterial SSU rRNA". It matches the Rfam family "Bacterial small subunit ribosomal RNA", at positions 355 to 772 of the family's 1533-position model. The record is from RNAcentral.